This 501-nucleotide ribosomal RNA is filed under the name uncultured bacterium. RNAcentral describes it as "partial 16S ribosomal RNA". It matches the Rfam family "Bacterial small subunit ribosomal RNA", at positions 29 to 523 of the family's 1533-position model. The record is from RNAcentral.
AUCGAACGCUGGCGGCAUGCCUUACACAUGCAAGUCGAACGGCAGCACGGGUGCUUGCACCUGGUGGCGAGUGGCGAACGGGUGAGUAAUACAUCGGAACGUACCUUAUCGUGGGGGAUAACGCAGCGAAAGCUGUGCUAAUACCGCAUACGCCCUGAGGGGGAAAGCGGGGGAUCGAAAGACCUCGCGCGAUUAGAGCGGCCGAUGCCUGAUUAGCUUGUUGGUGGGGUAAAAGCCCACCAAGGCGACGAUCAGUAGCUGGUCUGAGAGGACGGGCAGCCACACUGGGACUGAGACACGGCCCAGAAUCCUACGGGAGGCAGCAGUGGGGAAUUUUGGACAAUGGGGGCAACCCUGAUCCAGCAAUGCCGCGUGAGUGAAGAAGGCCUUCGGGUUGUAAAGCUCUUUUGUCAGGGAAGAAACACCGGCUCUAACACAGUCCGGGAAUGACGGUACCUGAAGAAUAAGCACCGGCUAACUACGUGCCAGCAGCCGCCGUAA